Molecule: long non-coding RNA, 322 nt
Organism: Rattus rattus (black rat)
Lineage: Eukaryota; Metazoa; Chordata; Mammalia; Rodentia; Muridae
Exons: 2
Source: RefSeq, a predicted model, not a curated record
CAGACGUGGAAGCGGGUUGCGGAGCUUCCUGGAGGCUCCACUGAGUCUCGGGCUGUCUCAGCUAACCAGUUCUUCAAAACUCAGCACAGUCGACACCUUCCACGCGACGGGCUUGCAGUGUCAAGAGCUCAGCUUUUGUAAACCUUCCCUACACGGACUGCAUUUUCCUUCUGUUACAGCAAUAUGGAUAUGCAACUUAUUUUCUUGGUCGGGCUGAAGUAGGGAAUGUACUGUUUGUUAGUGGAUGGCUCCUGUUCCUAAUAGAGGAUCUCACACUUUGUAAAGCACCAGGGAAUAAAUGCGUUCAGCCUUUUAUGGUGGA